GCUGGGUGUGGUGGUGCACACCUGUAAUCCCAGCUACUCAGGAGGCUGAGACAGGAGAAUCGCUUGAACCCGGGAGGCAGAGGUUGCAGUGAGCUGAGAUUGUACCACUGCACUCCAGCCUGGGUGACAGAGCAAGACCCUGUCUCUU
This 148-nucleotide signal recognition particle RNA is filed under the name Gorilla gorilla gorilla (western lowland gorilla). Its description in RNAcentral is "Metazoan signal recognition particle RNA". It matches the Rfam family "Metazoan signal recognition particle RNA". From Rfam's summary of the family: The signal recognition particle (SRP) is a universally conserved ribonucleoprotein. It is involved in the co-translational targeting of proteins to membranes. RNAcentral also lists the same sequence under 1 other name. The record is from Rfam by way of RNAcentral. Lineage: Eukaryota; Metazoa; Chordata; Mammalia; Primates; Hominidae.